UCUGGUUGAUCCUGCCAGAGGUUACUGCUAUCGAGGUUCGACUAAGCCAUGCGAGUCGAAUGUAGCAAUACAUGGCGUACUGCUCAGUAACACGUGGAUAACCUACCCUUGAGUCGGGGAUAAACCCGGGAAACUGGGUAUAAUACCCGAUAGAUCUCGACUGCUGGAAUGCAUCGAGCUCUAAAGCUCCGGCGCUCAAGGAUGGAUCUGCGGCCUAUCAGGUAGUAGUGGGUGUAGCGUACCUACUAGCCUACGACGGGUACGGGUUGUGAGAGCAAGAGCCCGGAGAUGGAUUCUGAGACACGAAUCCAGGCCCUACGGGGUGCAGCAGGCGCGAAAACUUUACAAUGCCGGCAACGGCGAUAAGGGGACCUCGAGUGCCAGGUUACAAAUCUGGCUGUCGUGAUGCCUAAAAAGCAUUGCAUAGCAAGGGCCGGGCAAGACCGGUGCCAGCCGCCGCGGUAACACCGGCGGCUCGAGUGGUAACCGUUAUUAUUGGGUCUAAAGGGUCUGUAGCCGGCUGGAUAAGUCUCUUGAGAAAUCCGGCAGCUCAACUGUCGGGCUUUCAGGAGAUACUGUCCGGCUCGAGACCGGGAGAGGUGAGAGGUACUUCAGGGGUAGGGGUGAAGUCUUGUAAUCCUUGAAGGACCACCAGUGGCGAAGGCGUCUCACCAGAACGGAUCUGACGGCAAGGGACGAAAGCUAGGGGCACGAACCGGAUUAGAUACCCGGGUAGUCCUAGCCGUAAACGAUACUCGCUAGGUGUCGGCCACGGUGCGACCGUGGUCGGUGCCGUAGGGAAGCCGUGAAGCGAGCCACCUGGGAAGUACGGCCGCAAGGCUGAAACUUAAAGGAAUUGGCGGGGGAGCA
Molecule: ribosomal RNA, 870 nt
Filed under: uncultured Methanosaeta sp.
Lineage: Archaea; Methanobacteriati; Methanobacteriota; Methanomicrobia; Methanotrichales; Methanotrichaceae
Description: bacterial SSU rRNA
Rfam family: Archaeal small subunit ribosomal RNA
Source: RNAcentral